GUCACAGAUGAACCCUUGUAGGGUUGAAGC
Molecule: non-coding RNA, 30 nt
Filed under: Halogranum amylolyticum
Lineage: Archaea; Methanobacteriati; Methanobacteriota; Halobacteria; Halobacteriales; Haloferacaceae
Source: RNAcentral